UCUUUCUUUCUUUCUUUCUUUCUUUCUUUCUUUCUUUCUUUCUUUCUUUCUUUCCCAUUUCCCUAGUCUUCAUCUCUUCACUCUCAUUCCCCUUCUGAUCAGCCAGACUUCAGGCUGUGUGUGGCUCAUUGCUGUUGGUGCAGGUCAUUAUUGUGAGCAUGCUCUAUUAGUCUAUUCUAUUAUUUCACAGGGCCUCUACAUGUACUAGGCACACGCGGCUCUGCUAUGUGUCCCUUCUUCGUGAGGCCCAAAGGAUUAGGGUGUCAUCCCGGAAUCAGAAGUAGCAAUAAGGAAUUCAUCCCACGUGUAGCUGGAACCCAAGUGGUUUUGAAUUCGGCAUCAUGACUUUCAACCAAGUGAACAAUGAGAGGAGCUUGUUUUGGAAAUCAAAGUACCUACCGUGCUGUCCAGCCCCAGAGUAAUCAUCAUGAGGAAGAAUAUGAUGGCAAAGAAGGUCGAGCCCACCAUAUUUGCGAUGGCCUCAGGCCAUGUAGCCCAGCACUGUGAAAAUGACGAACCCCGACAGGAAGCUGGUCAGACAGUUCACCGCGCUGGUGACUAUGGCGUCUCUGGAAGGCAGAACGGGAGCGGGUGACUAGAAGGACAAGGCUGAAGUAAACAAUCGUGAAGAUGAGAAAAAAGGCAGAGGAGAAGCUGCCAGCGGAUCCCGCCGACGUCAUACAGGCCACUGGAUUUCUGAAUCUCAAGGACCUUCCUCCUGUGGCAAAAAACCCCCCCCGGCGGCUUAGUCACUAAGGCUUGGUCUACACUACCCCCCUAAUUCGAACUAAGGUACGCAACUUCAGCUACGUGAAUAACGUAGC
Chrysemys picta bellii (western painted turtle) is the source of this 824-nucleotide non-coding RNA. Lineage: Eukaryota; Metazoa; Chordata; Testudines; Emydidae. The record is from RefSeq and is a predicted model, not a curated record.